AGUAUCUAAUUCAAGUGGUUAAGAGUUUGGCUGCUAACCAAAAGGUUGGCAGUUCAAAUCCAUCAGCUGCUG
Molecule: transfer RNA, 72 nt
Filed under: Loxodonta africana (African savanna elephant)
Lineage: Eukaryota; Metazoa; Chordata; Mammalia; Proboscidea; Elephantidae
Rfam family: tRNA
About the family: Transfer RNA (tRNA) molecules are approximately 80 nucleotides in length. Their secondary structure includes four short double-helical elements and three loops (D, anti-codon, and T loops).
Source: Rfam by way of RNAcentral